AACCACUACGGAAAGAGGUGGACUAACUACCGCAUACCGCCGUACGGGAAGGGGGGAUCGCAAGACCUCUCACUAUUGGAGCGGCCGAUAUCGGAUUAGCCAGUUGGUGGGGUAAAGGCCUACCAAGGCGACGAUCCGUAGCUGGUUUUGAGAGGACGACCAGCCACACUGGGACUGAGACACGGCCCAGACUCCUACGGGAGGCAGCAGUGGGAAUUUUGGACAAUGGGGAAACCCUGAUCCAGCCAUUCCGCGUGUGCGAUGAAGGCCUUCGGGUUGUAAAGCACUUUUGGCAGGAAAGAAAUCGUGUGGGUUAAUACCCUGCGCGGAUGACGGUACCUGCAGAAUAAGCACCGGCUAACUACGUG
Molecule: ribosomal RNA, 368 nt
Filed under: uncultured bacterium
Lineage: Bacteria
Description: bacterial SSU rRNA
Rfam family: Bacterial small subunit ribosomal RNA
Source: RNAcentral